This 491-nucleotide ribosomal RNA is filed under the name uncultured bacterium. RNAcentral describes it as "partial 16S ribosomal RNA". It matches the Rfam family "Bacterial small subunit ribosomal RNA", at positions 29 to 507 of the family's 1533-position model. The record is from RNAcentral.
AGUGAACGCUGGCGGUAGGCCUAACACAUGCAAGUCGAACGGCAGCACAGUAAGAGCUUGCUCUUACGGGUGGCGAGUGGCGGACGGGUGAGGAAUACAUCGGAAUCUACUUUUUCGUGGGGGAUAACGUAGGGAAACUUACGCUAAUACCGCAUACGACCUACGGGUGAAAGCAGGGGAUCUUCGGACCUUGCGCGAUUGAAUGAGCCGAUGUCGGAUUAGCUAGUUGGCGGGUAAAGGCCCACCAAGGCGACCAACCGUAGCUGGUCUGAGAGGAUGAUCAGCCACACUGGAACUGAGACACGGUCCAGACUCCUACGGGAGGCAGCAGUGGGGAAUAUUGGACAAUGGGCGCAAGCCUGAUCCAGCCAUACCGCGUGGGUGAAGAAGGCCUUCGGGUUGUAAAGCCCUUUUGUUGGGAAAGAAAAGCAGCAGGUUAAUACCCCGCUGUUCUGACGGUACCCAAAGAAUAAGCACCGGCUAACUUCGUG